Non-coding RNA from Pelodiscus sinensis (Chinese soft-shelled turtle), 2977 nucleotides. The record is from RefSeq and is a predicted model, not a curated record. Lineage: Eukaryota; Metazoa; Chordata; Testudines; Trionychidae.
CAGGGCUGGGCCAGGCAGCGCAGGACCCGGGGGAUAAUCCGACCCAGCGUCGAGUCCAAUGCAUCAUCCUCCCAUCGUGGGCGCAGGAUCAAGGACUCCAAAUCCCCCAUUCUGUCAACUCCCCCCUCCCACGACAGGCCCUUAAGGAGGCCGCUUCCCUCCCUGCCCACAUUCAGAGAUGCUAGGAGACUCAAGAGGAAGCAGAUCUUUAAAAAAAAAAUUGCAGAGGCAAAACUCCCUGCAAAAGGGAGAGAAAAAAAGGGACUUUUCGUUCUAGUCAGAACCCGCCACUUGGAUGAGUGCAGUACAGCAACUGGUGGCUUUCACAGAUGGCAGGAGCUCCUCCUUUAUUUUGACACAACAUACAUUUAAUUGACAGCCCCGGGAGCAUGCAUGUGAGCAUCAGACUGCCCUGGAGAGAAAAGCAGAAAGGGACGAACUUAAGUGCUGAGAAAAAUGAAGAACUCAAAGCAGGAGAAAGAUUCGAAAGGGAAGAUGAGAGAAAAGGAAGUCGAGAUGGGAGUGGACAAGGAAAUACAAAAACACAAUAGGGGAGAGCAGAAAAAGCAUUUCAAAGGACUGGAUGGAAACAACCGGCCCAAGCAGAAACACUAAUCUAAGAACCAAUCCCUGCAACAAACGUUGUUGCCAACUCUGUCUACACAUCUACCCUGCUGACACCACAACAGGAUCUACCCUCAUCAAGCCAUACCCCAUUGAAGGCUUGUUCACCUGCACAUCUACUAAUCUGAUAUGUGCCUGCAAUGUACCUCUGCAUGAACAUUGGACAAAUCGGAUUGACUAUAUGCAAAAGAAUAAAUGGACACAAAUCAGAAAUCAAGAAUGGUAACACAAAAAAAGAAAACCUGGGGGGAGAGCACUUUAACCUGCCCGGACACACAAUUAUUGACUUGCAAGUUGCCAUUCUUAAGCAAAAAACCAAAAAACAAAAACAAAAAACCUGCAAAAACAGACUGCAACACAAAACUGCUAAACUGAAAUUUGUAUGCAAAUUUGACACCAUCAAAAGUGGUCUAAAUAGAGACAAGGAGUGGCUUUCUCAUUACAAAAAGUAAUUUCCCCUUCACAUACUUUCAUCUUCUCAUCGCUGUUGGAGGUGAGCCACAUCCACCCUGAUUUAUUUAGCACUCCCAUUUCUGAAUUCUUGUUUUUCCUCCUCUUCAAGCAUCUGAGGAAGUGAGUUGUAUCUCAUAUAAGCUUAUGCUCUAGUAAAGUGGCUAGUCAUUAAGGUGCCACCACACCCCUUGUUUUUGCUAAAAAGAACUAACAAGGCUACCUCUCUGAAUGCUGUCCAUAUUCAGCUGCAGACUUUUGAACGGAAACUAUAAUGUUUUGUUCAGAGCUACAAACAUUUCAGAGUUACAACCAAUUUCCAUUCUCUGCAGUUCUGCGGUAGUUUAACUGGUGUUAUGAGCAACUUGGAGGAAGGAUAAUAUAAAUCAGAGAAUUUUAGCAAAAACUACACCGAAUUUCUCCCCAAACUGGCUAAACUCCAUUGAAGAUUUUAGCUAAAAUUCUGCUUUGGUUUCUCAUUCAAUUUUUGACUUUAAUUGAUCCUUGCCUUAUUUGUGUUUUAAAACCAAAGAGCAUAAGACAAAGGAAAGGGAACCAUUCAUAAAUGUGAAUGAGACUACUAUGGGGACCAUAUGUUGGAGAAACCUCACAAUAAAAGGCAAACAGCAUGACCACAGCAAAAUCUCUUUCUAGUAGACAAUAUUCUGAGCAACUUUUACUUAUUGUUAAGGAUAGUUGUAGGUAUCUCAAAACAUGUUAAUUGUUAUGUCUUGAUUAUGACAACAUGGAGCUGUGGGUUAUGUUCUGGAUUUUCAUGCAGCACUUUACUCCCUGUAUUACUGUCAAGGAAGGCCAGUACCAGACUGGGAGCAUAUUGGAAGUGGGAUGAGAAGGCCUUGCUUGGAGAGCAUGACUAAUGUCUCCCACAUGACCUUUAUAGCCAAGCAAGGAGCAGCACCAUGCCAAGGAAAGUCACCACCAGAAAUCAUAAAAUCAUAGAACACUAGAACUGGAAGGGACCUCGAGAGGUCAUCAAGUCCAGUCCCCUGCCUUCACAGCAGGACCCAGUACCGUCUAAAUCAUCCCUGAUAGGUGUCUGUCUAACCUGCUCUUAAAUAUCUCCAAUGAUGGCGAUUCUGCAACCUCCCCAGGACAUUUUGUUGGGACUUCUUCAGUAACUCACAAGAAUGGACAAGAGUGUUCUUGAAUGGGAGAUCCCAACGGAUGGUUUGGAACAAUUGUUCUUCCCCCAACAAUCUCUCCUUUAGGAUCUGAUAUAAUCACCUGGUCUCUCCAGCACUGAUAGACAGUUAGGAGAGUUAGUGAGGAAACAGUGUGCAGUAUGUUCCAUAUGCUAAGAAUACUCCACUGCAUCCGAUCUGACUCAUACAGAGGAACCAAUAGCUCAGAAUCAGAGUGUAGAUGGUGCUAAGUUGGUUCCGGCUUAAUUCAGAUAAGACUGAAGCGGUUUCAUUGAGGGAAUGCACCUGCCAGUGACAGAUCAAGCUCCAAUUUCCGGAGUUUCAGAUGAUCAGACACCAGUUGUACCCAGAAAGGUUCUUUCCCCUCCUUGAACAUCUGGCCAGAAGAAUGUGGGCAUUUUUCUUAGGUGUAGACCUGGUGAGGCUACUGUCAUCCACGACUUUGGCACUUCAAGGCUGGACUGUGGCAAUGCAUUGCACAUGGGGGAUUGUGCAUUAGGAUCACAUGGAGGUAAAAGCUAGUUCAGUGUCACAGAUGUCUUAUUCGAUGAACUUUCUGAUGUUCCUGGAUGCUGCAUUCUUGACUGGUUUCUGGAUGGAGUUCAAGGACCUGUUCUUAUCCCUGAACGGUUUACACCCCAUUAGCUGUGGGACUGCCUCUCUCGCGGGGCCAUACUGACACCGUUGAGACCCUUGGGCUAUGUCUACACUCGUGGCUUCUUGCGUGAGAAAUAUGCAAA